ACCCUNUGGAGCUUUAAACUUAUUACCACUUAUUUAGUUACAUAACAAUUUAAAUAAUAAGACUGUUCUUUAAUAGUUUUCGGUUGGGGCGACCCUGGAGAAAAAUAAAUCCUCCAGAUUGAAAAAUAACCCUUAUAUAAGAACCACAAUUCAAAUAAACAAAAAUUUGACAAAACUGACCCAGAAUAACUGAUCAGUGAACCAAGUUACCCUAGGGAUAACAGCGCUAUCCAUUUUGAGAGUCCGUAUUGACAAAUGGGUUUACGACCUCGAUGUUGGAUCGGGGUAUCCCAGCAGCGCAGCAGUUGCUAAUGGUUCGUUUGUUCAACGACUAACACCCCACGUGAUCUGAGUUCAAACMRGANCNCCUGU
This 372-nucleotide ribosomal RNA is filed under the name Hyperolius rubrovermiculatus. RNAcentral describes it as "partial 16S ribosomal RNA". It matches the Rfam family "Bacterial large subunit ribosomal RNA", at positions 2088 to 2631 of the family's 2925-position model. Lineage: Eukaryota; Metazoa; Chordata; Amphibia; Anura; Hyperoliidae. The record is from RNAcentral.